Molecule: ribosomal RNA, 207 nt
Filed under: uncultured bacterium
Lineage: Bacteria
Description: partial 16S ribosomal RNA
Rfam family: Bacterial small subunit ribosomal RNA
Source: RNAcentral
CGUGUAGGCGGUUUAUCGAGUCAGGCGUGAAAGCCCCGGGCUUAACCUGGGAACUGCGUUUGAUACUGAUAGGCUAGAGGUUGGAAGAGGAGAGUGGAAUUCCCAGUGUAGAGGUGAAAUUCGUAGAUAUUAGGAAGAACACCAGUGGCGAAGGCGGCUCUCUGGUCCAUACCUGACGCUGAGGCGCGAAAGCGUGGGGGGCAAACA